GAUGAACGCUGGCGGCGUGCCUAAUACAUGCAAGUCGAGCGAAUGGAUUAAGAGCUUGCUCUUAUGAAGUUAGCGGCGGACGGGUGAGUAACACGUGGGUAACCUGCCCAUAAGACUGGGAUAACUCCGGGAAACCGGGGCUAAUACCGGAUAACAUUUUGAACCGCAUGGUUCGAAAUUGAAAGGCGGCUUCGGCUGUCACUUAUGGAUGGACCCGCGUCGCAUUAGCUAGUUGGUGAGGUAACGGCUCACCAAGGCAACGAUGCGUAGCCGACCUGAGGAGGUGAUCGGCCACACUGGGACUGAGACACGGCCCAGACUCCUACGGGAGGCAGCAGUAGGGAAUCGUCCGCAAUGGACGAAAGUCUGACGGAGCAACGCCGCGUGAGUGAUGAAGGCUUUCGGGUCGUAAAACUCUGUUGUUAGGGAAGAACAAGUGCUAGUUGAAUAAGCUGGCACCUUGACGGUACCUAACCAGAAAGCCACGGCUAACUACGUGCCAGCCGCCGCGGUAA
RNAcentral lists this ribosomal RNA (515 nucleotides) under uncultured bacterium. RNAcentral describes it as "partial 16S ribosomal RNA". It matches the Rfam family "Bacterial small subunit ribosomal RNA", at positions 28 to 523 of the family's 1533-position model. The record is from RNAcentral.